This 400-nucleotide ribosomal RNA is filed under the name uncultured bacterium. Its description in RNAcentral is "bacterial SSU rRNA". It matches the Rfam family "Bacterial small subunit ribosomal RNA", at positions 355 to 773 of the family's 1533-position model. The record is from RNAcentral.
UGGGGAAUAUUGCACAAUGGGGGAAACCCUGAUGCAGCGACGCCGCGUGGAGGAUGACGGCCUUCGGGUUGUAAACUCCUUUUGUCAGGGACAAUGGUGAUGGUACCUGACGUAUAAGCCACGGCUAACUCCGUGCCAGCAGCCGCGGUAAGACAGAGGUGGCGAGCGUUGUUCGGAAUUACUGGGCUUAAAGGGCGCGUAGGCGGUGGUGUAAGUCUGGGGUGGAAUGCUACAGCUCAACUGUAGAGCUGCCUUGGAAACUGCAUUACUUGAGUCGGUGAGGGGAAGCGGAAUUCCUGGUGUAGCGGUGAAAUGCGUAGAUAUCAGGAGGAAGGUCUGUGGCGAAGGCGGCCUUCUGGCACUUGACUGACGCUGAGGCGCGAAAGCGUGGGGAGCGAAA